GAUGAACGCUGGCGGCGUGCCUAAUACAUGCAAGUCGAGCGAACAGACGAGGAGCUUGCUCCUCUGACGUUAGCGGCGGACGGGUGAGUAACACGUGGAUAACCUACCUAUAAGACUGGGAUAACUUCGGGAAACCGGAGCUAAUACCGGAUAAUAUAUUGAACCGCAUGGUUCAAUAGUGAAAGACGGUUUUGCUGUCACUUAUAGAUGGAUCCGCGACGCAUUAGCUAGUUGGUAAGGUAACGGCUUACCAAGGCAACGAUGCGUAGCCGACCUGAGAGGGUGAUCGGCCACACUGGAACUGAGACACGGUCCAGACUCCUACGGGAGGCAGCAGUAGGGAAUCUUCCGCAAUGGUCGAAAGCCUGACGGAGCAACGCCGCGGGAGUGAUGAAGGUCUUCGGAUCGUAAAACUCUGUUAUUAGGGAAGAACAAAUGUGUAAGUAACUAUGCACGUCUUGACGGUACCUAAGCAGAAAGCCACGGCUAACUACGUG
This 497-nucleotide ribosomal RNA is filed under the name uncultured bacterium. RNAcentral's name for it is "partial 16S ribosomal RNA". It matches the Rfam family "Bacterial small subunit ribosomal RNA", at positions 28 to 507 of the family's 1533-position model. The record is from RNAcentral.